GAUGAACGCUGGCGGCGUGCCUAAUACAUGCAAGUCGAGCGAACGGACGAGAAGCUUGCUUCUCUGAUGUUAGCGGCGGACGGGUGAGUAACACGUGGAUAACCUACCUUUAAGACUGGGAUAACUUCGGGAAACCGUAGCUAAUACCGGAUAAUAUUUUGAACCGCAUGGUUCAAAAGUGAAAGCCGGUCUUGCUGUCACUUUUAGAUGGAUCCGCGCUGCAUUAGCUAGUUGGUAAGGUAACGGCUUACCAAGGCAACGAUGCAUAGCCGACCUGAGAGGGUGAUCGGCCACACUGGAACUGAGACACGGUCCAGACUCCUACGGGAGGCAGCAGUAGGGAAUCUUCCGCAAUGGGCGAAAGCCUGACGGAGCAACGCCGCGUGAGUGAUGAAGGUCUUCGGAUCGUAAAACUCUGUUAUUAGGGAAGAACAUAUGUGUAAGUAACUGUGCACAUCUUGACGGUACCUAAUCAGAAAGCCACGGCUAACUACGUG
This 497-nucleotide ribosomal RNA is filed under the name uncultured bacterium. RNAcentral's name for it is "partial 16S ribosomal RNA". It matches the Rfam family "Bacterial small subunit ribosomal RNA", at positions 28 to 507 of the family's 1533-position model. The record is from RNAcentral.